CGGGACGGGUGAGUAACGCGUGGGUAACCUGCCCUGUACAGGGGGAUAACAGCUGGAAACGGCUGCUAAUACCGCAUAAGCGCACGAGGAGACAUCUCCUUGUGUGAAAAACUCCGGUGGUACAGGAUGGGCCCGCGUCUGAUUAGCUGGUUGGCAGGGUAACGGCCUACCAAGGCAACGAUCAGUAGCCGGUCUGAGAGGAUGAACGGCCACAUUGGAACUGAGACACGGUCCAA
RNAcentral lists this ribosomal RNA (236 nucleotides) under uncultured bacterium. RNAcentral describes it as "partial 16S ribosomal RNA". It matches the Rfam family "Bacterial small subunit ribosomal RNA", at positions 100 to 334 of the family's 1533-position model. The record is from RNAcentral.